Pocillopora damicornis (cauliflower coral) is the source of this 202-nucleotide long non-coding RNA. Lineage: Eukaryota; Metazoa; Cnidaria; Anthozoa; Scleractinia; Pocilloporidae. The record is from RefSeq and is a predicted model, not a curated record.
AGGGCUUCUAGUUGGUUUCCAUUUCUGUCCCGUUCUGUUGAGUGGUGUUGCUGUAUUUCUUGUGGCUUUCAGUUCGUCUUUGCACACUGACUUGAGCAGGGACGAGGUUUUCGAGAGAGUUGAAGGAUUUGAGCUAACUGGUCACAUCACCAAGACAUUAUACGCUGACGAAAUAAGCUGUGGAUUGAGAUGCCUUCAAGAU